CAUUCUUCAAUCAAAUCGACCAAACAGUUCGCAAUGUUGUUGAUGAUCGCGUGGAAUCCAUGGCGCUGGACGGCUGCGCGCCCGACGCCACAUUCUGGUGCGUGCUCUUCGCGUGGAGCCACACUGGAUCGCUGGAGCUGGUAGCGGAGGGCCACCGCUAGGGUUGUCAGCGCUAGGAGCUGGGCGGCGUGGCCAGCAGCGCCAUGGCGGUGAUCAAGGAGGAAAGCGCUCACACUUGGCAGCCUCUCCCAGUAGCCUUCUCAUGCCUCUCCUUGCCAGACGUUCAACGUUCGUCUUCUUCCUCAUUUUUCUUGUUGAGGAUCUGGAUGGUUACUUGGAUAACCAUGGAUUAGCUGCGCAAGCUAUACACUAGAUAUUUUUUUCUUUGACAGAAGUUCGUGCUGGCGUGGGAAAUGCCUUUGUUCCGCGUUACAACUUUUACGGUGGAGGAGUUGGAUGUGCCAUCGUUGGAUGCCCUCCGGCGCUCAAUCUCACCGAGGAGGGAUCUAGACAGAAGGAGGCCGGGCCAAAGUCGGAUCACAACUCCAAGGAAGGAAACAGGCACUUGCAAAUUUCUCUCUGGCGUGGCACAAGGAAUGGACACUGGGGACUCCUAUUGCUGUUCUAGUUCCAAACACGGAUCAACGUAGAAGAGAUUGGCUCUAGCUUAUCUAGCGGCCAUCUCAUGCCGAUGCUACUUACGGAUUCAAGUAGCCGUCCAGGUUAAAUCUAAACGUUUCCUCGCAAACUCUCUUGGAAGAAGAUCAUCCACCCGAGAAAGAGUAGCAGCGGGGACAAUCGCAAACAGUUUGUGCUUUUAUAUUUCCUUGGUGUUCGUAAUUCCCGGUGGAGAGCAACAUCCGGAUCAAGUUAUGGCGGAAAAAACGAUCGCUGCCAUCGACGCUGUGAGAGUGAGGGGAGAUUCCGUGGGAGGAGUCGUCACUUGCAUUGCUAGAAACGUUCCUCGGGGACUUGGGGCUCCUGUUCUUGACAAGCUAGAAGCCGAGCUCGCCAAGGCUCUCAUGUCUUUCCCUGCCACCAAAGGCUUUGACUUUGAAGGAUCUCCUUUCUGUUUUUUCCUCAACUUGUGAACAAGUCAUGCAGGGAAGAAGAGACGAUAGUGAUGAGAAUAGCAUUCAAGCCGACGUCUACAAUCACUGUAAAGUUCUUCGAUUCUCACUGAGCUGGCAUGAAAUUCCAAGAGACUGGAAUGAGAGACCGGCAAGAAGAGCUCGUGUUCGUCAUGAUCCCUGCGUCGUUCCUCGAGCUGUUCCAAUGGUGUCCAAGGCGAUGGUGGCCUUGGUUCUCGCGGAUCAGCUCCUCCAACACUACAUGCAGUGCCAAUUUCUCCCUCUGGCAGAGCUCCACCCUCGUCUCUAAUCCACCGAAGGAAGAACGUCUCGCUUGCCAUUUUUUUUAUUUUUUAUUUUUUAACUUGAAUUCGAGCGCCAAAUU
Long non-coding RNA from Selaginella moellendorffii, 1455 nucleotides. RefSeq lists it as uncharacterized. The transcript has 8 exons. NCBI's taxonomy places the organism in Eukaryota, Viridiplantae, Streptophyta, Lycopodiopsida, Selaginellales, Selaginellaceae. The record is from RefSeq and is a predicted model, not a curated record.